This 253-nucleotide ribosomal RNA is filed under the name uncultured bacterium. RNAcentral describes it as "partial 16S ribosomal RNA". It matches the Rfam family "Bacterial small subunit ribosomal RNA", at positions 524 to 776 of the family's 1533-position model. The record is from RNAcentral.
UACAGAGGGUGCAAGCGUUAAUCGGAAUUACUGGGCGUAAAGCGCACGUAGGCGGUUUUUUAAGUCAGAUGUGAAAGCCCCGGGCUCAAUCUGGGAACUGCGCUUCUAACUGGCAGGCUUGAGUGUGGCAGAGGGGGGUGGAAUUCCACGUGUAGCAGUGAAAUGCGUAGAGAUGUGGAGGAACACCGAUGGCGAAGGCAGCCCCCUGGGCUAACACUGACGCUCAUGCACGAAAGCGUGGGGAGCAAACAGG